This 407-nucleotide ribosomal RNA is filed under the name uncultured bacterium. RNAcentral describes it as "partial 16S ribosomal RNA". It matches the Rfam family "Bacterial small subunit ribosomal RNA", at positions 30 to 526 of the family's 1533-position model. The record is from RNAcentral.
AUUGAACGCUGGCGGCAGGCCUAACACAUGCAAGUCGAGCGGAACGGCGGACGGGUGAGUAAUGCCUAGGAAUCUUCCUGUUAGUGGGGGAUAACGUCCGGAAACUGGCUCUCAUACCGCAUACUAUCAGAUGAGCCUAGGUCGGAGGAGCUAGUUGGUGGGGUAAAGUCCUACCAAGGCUACUAUACGUAAGUGGUCUGAGAGGAUGAUCAGUAACAGUGGAACUGAGACACGGUCCAGACUCCUACGGGAGGCAGCAGUGUGGAAUAUUGGACAAUGGGCGAAAGCCUGAGACAGCCAUGCCGCGUGUGGGAAGAAGGUCUUCGGAUUGUAAAGCACUUUAAGUUGGGAGGCGUUACCAACAGAAUAAGCACCGGCUAACUUCGUGCCAGCAGCCGCGGUAAUUC